GCAUAAUCGAUAGUUUUUUAAUUGAAAGCUGGAAUGAAGGGUUUUAGACUGAAGAGAUAGUUUUAUUUGGUUGUCUUGAAUUUAAAUUAAAAGUAAAAAUGCUUUUAUAAAGUUUUGGGACGAGAAGACCCUAGAAGCUUAAAAUUGAAAAAUUUUUGGUUGGGGUAACAUUUGAAGAUAAAAAUUUUUGAAAGAUCUAAAAUAACUUAAAAAUAAAGUUACUCUAGGGAUAACAGCAUAAUUUGAUUAACAAGUUCUUAUUAAUAAUCAAGUUUGUGACC
This 281-nucleotide ribosomal RNA is filed under the name Iguapeia melanocephala. RNAcentral describes it as "partial 16S ribosomal RNA". Lineage: Eukaryota; Metazoa; Arthropoda; Arachnida; Opiliones; Gonyleptidae. The record is from RNAcentral.